UGUUACUCACGUAAAACGUGUUCCUUCCACUUCCCCACCUUCUAACGGCAGAUUCCUCACACAAACCGUGUUCCUUCCCCUUCCCCACAUUCUAACAGAGGACUAUCAAAAUGCUGUCCACCAUAACGCCCAAACCCAUUCUUAAUAGCCUUUACUUUAUAACACCAACCCUUUCUAUAUCCCCUCCUUUUGCUCUACCAGUGUUCCACGGUUUCAAAACUUCAGCCCUUCAGCUAGCUAACGCCAACCUCUCUUUCUUCCAAAGAUAGUUUCAAAACUUCAGACCUUUGGCUUUCUAAAACAGUAUAUUUGAUGAUUCACUUCAGACCUUUAAAACUUGAACGCAACACUAGGUGAGAGCUAUUGAAGAGGGGGCAGAUUUCAUAGAAACAGACAUCCUCGGCAGUUAAGAUGGAGUGCUAAUAUGCUCCCAUGAUGUAACACUGGAUCUUGAUAAUAGAACAAAUAUUGCAAACUUCAGUCAGUUUGCCGAUCGAAAAAGAACUUAUGAGGUCCAAGGUGUGACUAUGACUGGGUGUUACUAUGGUGAGAAUUACAAAAAGAGUCAUUAAUAUUUUACUUUGCCAGACUAUAUUUUAGCAAGCCUGGGAAAAAUGGCAUUCUAAGUGUGGAUGCACGUCCCUCAGAUGCCAUAAAUGUGGCAAAUAGAUGCAAGGCACCAAUAUUUGUAAGUAGACAAAUUGUCUUGGAAGAUGCUAUUAAAAUCGGUUAUGGGAUGGGCAGAAAACGUGAUACUAAAUCUACUUAUGAUGUGUCCCUUGACAGGUGAACAUCUUUGCAGUUUUUGCAGUCGCUAAUUUUUUUCCCUCUCCAUCGCAACAUGAAGUUUGUGAACAUCUUUGCAGUUUUUCCCUCUGCAUCUCCGCAUGAAGUUUGUGAGUUUUUUCUUGCAUAAUUAACAUAUAUGAACAUAGCUAGCUAUGUACCUAUUUCUCUGUUUAUAUGAUUGAAUUCCUGUUUCGGGUGAUUCAAUUAAUUUUGUAUUUUUUUCAGACAUGUUUUGAGAAAAGAUGCGGGUUUUAUCUUUUCACUGUCAUAUAGUCCGUAUUCCUGGAUUUAGGAACAUACUGUGUGUAUCAUUGAAAUUCUGCAGACAUGUUUGGGCAAAGGUGGGGGGUUUUCUAUUUCCCACCAUGUCUCAUAGUUAUUGUAUGUGGAUUUUUUAGGAUGUCACUCCAUUGUCCCGUGGACCUUUCGGCUUUUGCAAUCUUCUCUCCUAAUUAGGUGGGUGUAAAAGUUUCCCACUUUCAAGAAUGUACUUCUUUGGGUUCGGAAUUUGUUGCAAGAAAAAAAAAACACAAAAAAAAUCAACAAGCCCCUUGAUGCAAAUAAUUUGAUUUAUGUAGUUCCUUGGUACAAAACUGUUAAUAACUUGCACCUGUGGAAUGUGUCUUUAUUAAUUUAUGCAGUUCCUUGGCACAAAUUUAAAUUCACAACUAAUGUCUAUUACUUAUAAUUCAAUGUAAGGAUUAGAUUAAUAGUAUUGGUUCUUUUGAUUGUUGGUUUUUUUCCCCUCUUUUAUUACUACCUCUUUUGUGUUGUGGGUCUU
Long non-coding RNA from Quercus robur (English oak), 1570 nucleotides. RefSeq lists it as uncharacterized. The record is from RefSeq and is a predicted model, not a curated record. Lineage: Eukaryota; Viridiplantae; Streptophyta; Magnoliopsida; Fagales; Fagaceae. The transcript is spliced from 6 exons.